CAAAGGUAGCGUAAUCACUUGUCUAUUAAUUGUAGACCAGUAUGAAAGGCAAAAUGAGGGUCUAUCUGUCUCUUGUAAUAAAUCAAUUAAACUGAUCUCCUAGUAAAAAAGCUAGAAUUCUAACAUAAGACCAGAAGACCCUGUGAAGCUUAAACUAAAAUAUUAAACCACAUAAUACAUACUUUUGGUUGGGGCGACCUUGGAAAAAAAGAGAACUUCCAAACAAAUGACUAUAACUCAUACCAAACAUAGGCCCACAAGCCUUUCAUUACGACCCAGUAUAACUGAUAACUGAACAAAGUUACUCCAGGGAUAACAGCGCCAUCUUCUUCAAGAGUCCAUAUCAAAAAGAAGGUUUACGACCUCGAUGUUGGAU
Molecule: ribosomal RNA, 376 nt
Filed under: Leptodeira septentrionalis (Northern cat-eyed snake)
Lineage: Eukaryota; Metazoa; Chordata; Lepidosauria; Squamata; Dipsadidae
Description: partial 16S ribosomal RNA
Rfam family: Bacterial large subunit ribosomal RNA
Source: RNAcentral